Molecule: long non-coding RNA, 430 nt
Organism: Sapajus apella (tufted capuchin)
Lineage: Eukaryota; Metazoa; Chordata; Mammalia; Primates; Cebidae
Exons: 2
Source: RefSeq, a predicted model, not a curated record
GGUCUUGCCAUGAUGCCUAGGCUCUUCUCAAACUUUUAGCCUCAAGUGAUCCACCUGCCUCAACCUCCCAAAGUGCUGGGAUUACAGGCAUAAGUGAUUGCACCCAGCCUCACAGUCUACUUUUAAAUGGAAAAACCAAAAAAAACUCUCCUUUCUUGUCUGUAUUUUUUUCUCUACCAACCCUAUGCUAAGGGCAGUGAACACAGAACAUCACCACUACUGCUCAGAUAGGAGUAGGGGGGAGGGGGCAGAAAGUGUCAGAUAGUCUCACUGAGAUGCACUAACACCUCCACUAUACAAGCUAAAAUUUAGGUCAGGCAUGUGGCUCACUCCUGUAAUCCCAGCACUUUGGGAGGCCAAGGUGUGUGGAUCACUUGAGGUCGGGAGUUUGAGACCAGUCUGGCCAACAUGGCGAAACCCCAUCUCUACU